CCUACGGGAGGCAGCAGUGGGGAAUAUUGCACAAUGGGCGCAACCCUGAUGCAGCAACGCCGCGUGAGUGAAGACGUAUCUCGGUGUGAAACGCUCUAUCGGCAGGGAAGAAAGGCCCGAAAGGGAGAUGACGGUACCUGACUAAGGAAGCCCCGGCUAACUACGUGCCAGCCGCCGCGGUAAU
RNAcentral lists this ribosomal RNA (184 nucleotides) under uncultured bacterium. RNAcentral's name for it is "partial 16S ribosomal RNA". It matches the Rfam family "Bacterial small subunit ribosomal RNA", at positions 338 to 524 of the family's 1533-position model. The record is from RNAcentral.